Molecule: transfer RNA, 67 nt
Filed under: Nephrotoma quadrifaria
Lineage: Eukaryota; Metazoa; Arthropoda; Insecta; Diptera; Tipulidae
Description: tRNA-Ser
Source: RNAcentral
GAAAUAUGAAGACCAAGUGAAAGCUGCUAACUUUUUUCUUUAAUGGUUAAAUUCCAUUUAUAUUUCU